UACGUAGGGUGCAAGCGUUAAUCGGAAUUACUGGGCGUAAAGCGUGCGCAGGCGGUUUUGUAAGUCUGACGUGAAAUCCCCGGGCUCAACCUGGGAAUUGCGUUGGAGACUGCAAGGCUAGAAUCUGGCGGAGGGGGGUAGAAUUCCACGUGUAGCAGUGAAAUGCGUAGAGAUGUGGAGGAACACCGAUGGCGAAGGCAGCCCCCUGGGUCAAGAUUGACGCUCAUGCACGAAAGCGUGGGGAGCAAACAGG
RNAcentral lists this ribosomal RNA (253 nucleotides) under uncultured bacterium. RNAcentral describes it as "partial 16S ribosomal RNA". It matches the Rfam family "Bacterial small subunit ribosomal RNA", at positions 524 to 776 of the family's 1533-position model. The record is from RNAcentral.